GACGAACGCUGGCGGCGUGCUUAACACAUGCAAGUCGAGCGGUAAGGCCCUUUCGGGGGUACACGAGCGGCGAACGGGUGAGUAACACGUGGGUGACCUGCCCUCAGCUCUGGGAUAAGCCUGGGAAACUGGGUCUAAUACUGGAUAUGACUCCACGGUGCAUGUCGUGGGGUGGAAAGCCUUGUGCGGCUGAGGAUGGGCCCGCGGCCUAUCAGCUUGUUGGUGGGGUGANGGCCUACCAAGGCGACGACGGGUAGCCGGCCUGAGAGGGCGACCGGCCACACUGGGACUGAGACACGGCCCAGACUCCUACGGGAGGCAGCAGUGGGGAAUCUUGCGCAAUGGGCGAAAGCCUGACGCAGCGACGCCGCGUGAGGGAUGACGGCCUGCGGGUUGUAAAGCACUUUCAGUGGGGAAGAAAGCUUGGUGUGAAUAGCGCCGAGUCUUGACGUUACCAAAGAAGAAGCACCGGCUAACUCCGUGCCAGCAGCCGCGGUAA
RNAcentral lists this ribosomal RNA (499 nucleotides) under uncultured bacterium. Its description in RNAcentral is "partial 16S ribosomal RNA". It matches the Rfam family "Bacterial small subunit ribosomal RNA", at positions 28 to 523 of the family's 1533-position model. The record is from RNAcentral.